Canis lupus familiaris (dog) is the source of this 4155-nucleotide long non-coding RNA. RefSeq lists it as uncharacterized. The record is from RefSeq and is a predicted model, not a curated record. The transcript has 4 exons. Lineage: Eukaryota; Metazoa; Chordata; Mammalia; Carnivora; Canidae.
GUGCCGCUUCUGGCUGCUGUUGUGGUACAUCGCGGAGCCGCGAGGCAGGCCGCGGCGGCCUGAGGAAAGGACGCCACAGGGCACGACGCGGCGGGCAAACACCGCCUGGGCUACCACCGCGGUCCCGCGGAAACCGAGGGCGCCCGCUCGGCGGCGCCGGCGCGGUGACGUCCAGACCACGUGAUAUUUCCGACGGCAGUCGCGCUUCCGGAGCGGACUGAGAGGAAAACAGCCCUCGGGUUACCUUUGUGAGAGAAAAUAAUGGGAGAUGCUUAUUCAUUUGUUGGCCUUGUGUUUAUACACAUGCAACAUGACCACAGUGAAAUUUAAUACCUAUUUGAAGAAAAAUUAUUAAUAACCACAUUCCCACUGGCUAAAAAAAGAAUUUGCUUGAAGGAGAUAUUGAUAAAUUACAAUAGCCAAUGAUGUAUGAAAGUUUACAGACUAUGAAGAUGUUUUAUUUUGCCAUUAAGAAUCACACAUUCCAAGCCUUUCAAGAGAAUUAUGCUGCACUCCUGGAACAAGGACCAACUCUGGAGUGAAGGACAACCCCAUCAGCAUGAAUACCAGAGCCUCUCAGAUCAUUUGGUUCACUUUACACCCUUGGAAGAGGAUUGGAGUUUUCCCCAAAGUGGGGAAGAAGAGACUGAAGACCUUGUGGUUCAUGAUUUGGACUCAGAGAAUGCUGGAUGGAACUGCCAACCGUGCCCAGCCCAACGGACCAGAAUAGUCUUUAGGGAAGGCACUCCAAAGUGUGGGGCCUUUCUGGAACUGGACAUAUGCAAACUUAUGCAUACCCUACAGCCUACUAUUUUAAUGCACCUAAUAAAUCAAUUCUAACUUUUUAAGUGUUUAAGUUUUUAGACUUGAAAAUCAAUUUAUAUUUGUUUAUUCUUUACACUAGUUCUUUAAAAAAUUGUACCACUAAGAAUUUAAUGUUCAUUGAAAUGUUUCUUUUAAAAUAUCAGUAAUUUUCUAAGACCUUGAUAUAAUUUAUCAGUGAAAAUAACAUAUUCCGUUUCAAGGGGAUAAGAAAUGAUUUAGGGCCUGAAGUUACUUUUUUUUCCUGAAGUUACUCUUAAUACUAUUUCAAUGUUUCUCUGACUUCUAUUCAAAUAUUUAUAUUAAUAUUUACAUAAUCUAUAUAGAUGGCUUAGCUGAUCUGUAGGUGCUAAUUAAAAUAAUUCUAUGAUUAAUGGGUGGAGUUUUCCUAAAGCAGAUGCAUUAUCUCAUUAAACCAUUAGACUAACUUGUAUUUUUAUAAAAUUUUGCUGUGAUCAUGCCCAUUAUCUUAUUUACUCCUCAUAAUUAGUAUCUACUUAUGAUUAGCUGCCUUUGAUAGAUAAAAAAUACUAAGGAGAGUGACUUACGAUUAUUGUCCAAGUUUAUAUAUUUGGUAUCAUAGCCAUGAACAGAACUAGGCUUUCUGGACUUCUCAUCUGAUGCUCUAGUGCUUGUGGUAACUAUCAUGUGCUUUCCCCAGGCAUGCCUGUCAUGGUUAAGUUAGUAUUUAUUCUGAGUCUUUUUCCAAUGUUCACUAUGUCAAAAAAGAUAACAUGUCAUUUUUCUUUCUUGAUGCCUCUAUUGCUUCAAGGGAAUAUAGUUUUAAUAUUCAAUAGUGAAUAUUAAAUACAUCUAUUAAACAUGAUAUAUGACAAGAAAUCUAUAUCCUGCAUUCAGAAUUUUACUGUUACCCAACAUUCUGAUGUGUGUGUCAAUGCAGCGAACACAAUGGAUCCUCCUGCCAGUCACCUCUUAACUACCUAAAUAUCACAGCUUCUCAGGGCUUGAGGCAGGAGGAUCUUGCUGCAUUUAAGAUUUGAUGGCCCCAUGUCCUUUUUCUUGAUUUGGAAUAAAGAACAAAAAGUAUUAAUAUCCUUAUACGGUAAGUGAUGAAUAGAACUCUGCUCCACAUUUUCAAAUAAGUGAUACUGUCACUACCUGCCCUCAGGGUUCCAGCAGGGUUCUUGUCACUCCACAAGAUCCCAGGAACUUACAGGUUCAUUAUGAUCUCUUAGGUGUGCAGGCCAACUUUAUAUACUUAGGGGGUGGUACAGCCAAGGGGGGGUACAGUGAGAGUUCUAGAGUUGAAAAAACUGAACUAACUCAUUUACUAAUUGUGGGUUUUGGUCAAUCUAUCUUUUUAAUUUCCAUUUAUACUCACAUCAACAUGUAUUUUUUUCCUAAAUGAACUUUCCAAGUGAGAACUGUUUCAUAUUAUUCUUGAAAUGACUUGGAACCUUGGCUUCCUUGGCAUUAUACUUUUACUAUCAAAAUGCCCAAGGUCCUAACAAUGAUUUUAUGAGAGCGCAUGUUCAUCUGUAGAGGUUGCAGAAAUUUGGUGACUUCUGGGAACAGCAGCUCAAAUUCCACACUAUUCCUUUCCAGUUUUUUCCAUCUCAUUUUUGAUGAGAAAAAGUUCAGUUUUAAAAACUUAAAAAAAUAUAUCUAAUGUAUAUAGAAAAGAGAGAUAUGGCAGGAUGGCCGGAAAUGGCAUACAUUAGAAGAAAUAGAUGCAAGACUUUACUUUAAAAAAAAAAAAUCCUGUUCAUGCAAGUCAGGUCCCUUCAGGAAAAUGGUGCUACUUGCCAAAAUCCUCCACAGAAGAUAUGCUUGACGAAAGUGGUGCAGCCCUAUAAUAUGUCUUAUUGGCUCUUUUCCUUCUACCUCACAACUACUACAAAUUAUAUGUGAAUUUAUUAAAGGGUUGGAGAAAAUUAAAAGUAAUGGAGAAAAGUCAUAAUGCAUGUAUUAGAUACAGCUUUCUCAUAGUUCAACAGGAAAACACUCAAGGAUUUCCACAUUUUGGUUCCCAACCUUAUUUUAUCCACAGAUUUCUAAGGGUUUCUCCUUGGCAAUCUCACCAACUAGUGUUAGAAACUCUACUUUAACCAUAAGGGUUGAUUUCACUUCAGAUCUAUUCCCUUCUCUCACAGAAGUAUCUUCUUCCAAGUGUGAAUUAGAAGAAUCCCAUACAGGUUCAAGAAGGACAGUUCAGAUCUAUCAUUCACAUUCCAAAUCUCAUAGAAAGGUCAAGAGUGGGUGUGGCCUUUCCAAGCUUAGCCUCUAAAAGUCUCCCAAAUGGUGUGAGUUGUAGGUGGUUGUUUAUUCUUAAUGAUCAGUGAGUAGCUGUUGAAUCAUACACACACACACACACACACACACACACACACACACACCUCAAGGCAGAUAUUAAUGUUCAGGGUCAAGAAAGACUAAAUUCAUAAAGAAGAAAUUUCCUUCCCUAUAGUUUUUAAGAAUACCAUUAUCCAAAAUUUUUCCUAAUAUUAAUUUUCAUUCUUCCAUUUCCAAAUUUUGUUUCCUAAAGCUACUAGGUAAAGUAAAUAAUUAAUAUGCUAAAUUCAUAUGGUGGCUUCCUUAGCUGUAUAUGACCAAACCAAGACAUGGACAUUAUUGUUCUGAAAUAAUGCAUCAUUCUUCUCUAUGGUUGUGGGGGUGGUAGACAGAUGGCAGUGAAGAGGCAAGGAGUAGGAUUAGAAUUUCAUUUUUUUCUAGCUAAGAAUUGUUGAGCUGAAUUGCUUUAGUUAAUGUAUGUAUGGGGCUAAUAUCUGAAGUAAUAGUUAAAUAAAAUUUGUUUUCUAGGAAUAUUAAAAGGUAAAAAAUCAUUCUGUUCUAUGCUCAUCAGUACAGUUGACCCUUGAACAGUAUAGAGGUUAUGGAUGUUGACUCUCUAUGUGGUUGAAAAUCCAUGUAGAACUUAUCACUCCAUAAAAACUUAACUAUUGGUAGUCUACUGUUGACUAGAAGCCUUACCAAUUACAUGAAUAGUCGAUUAUCACAUAUUUGGUAUGUUAUAUGUAUCCUAUAAAUAUCCUUACCGUAAACUAAACUAGAAGUAAACAAGGUUAUUAGGAAAAUCAUUAGGAAGAAAAAGUACAUUUACAGUACUAUACUUAUAGAAAAAAAUCGCAAGUAUAAUGGAUCUGCACAGUUCCAACUGAUGUCAUUCAAGGGUCAACUGUGUAAAAUAAGCUCUAAACUUGAUCCUUAAUUUAAGGUGUGCAACUAGAACUCUUAACACAUAUGUAGUAGAGGUAUGGAUCUAAUUAUUUACAUUUUAUUAAAGGAUAGAAUUCUUUUUAAUGAUAAAUGUAAUUAUUGUAGUAACAAUAAAGAAAUAUGUUAUUUGAGACA